RNAcentral lists this unclassified non-coding RNA (378 nucleotides) under plant metagenome. RNAcentral's name for it is "partial contains 5.8S ribosomal RNA, internal transcribed spacer 2, and large subunit ribosomal RNA". The stretch from base 1 to 105 matches the Rfam family "5.8S ribosomal RNA", at positions 50 to 154 of the family's 154-position model. The record is from RNAcentral.
GAAAUGCGAUAAGUAAUGUGAAUUGCAGAAUUCAGUGAAUCAUCGAAUCUUUGAACGCAUCUUGCGCUCCUUGGUAUUCCUUGGAGCAUGCCUGUUUGAGUAUCAUGAAAUCUUCAAAGUAAAUCUUUUGUUAACUCAAUUGGUUUCUACUUUGGUAUUGGAGGUCUUUGCAGCUUCACACCUGCUCCUCUUUGUUCAUUAGCUGGAUCUCAGUGUUAUGCUUGGUUCCACUCGGCGUGAUAAGUUAUCUAUCGCUGAGGACACUGUAAAAGGUGGUCAAGGUAAAUGCAGAUGAACCGCUUCUAAUAGUCCAUUGACUUGGACAAUACUUUUAUGAUCUGAUCUCAAAUCAGGUAGGACUACCCGCUGAACUUAAGC